Molecule: long non-coding RNA, 1543 nt
Filed under: Oncorhynchus kisutch (coho salmon)
Lineage: Eukaryota; Metazoa; Chordata; Actinopteri; Salmoniformes; Salmonidae
Description: lncRNA (ENSOKIG00005002762.1)
Source: RNAcentral
GAUGACCCCCGACCUUCCACACCACCCCAGACCCACCACAGGACUCAGCAGGUCCUGGCUGAGGUGUGUUCGUGGGACCUCGCCCCUGUUCCUGAGCAACACAAGAAGGUCUGUCACAGCCUGGCAGUGGUGUCUGGAGGAGUUGGACUCGAGUGUGAACCUGUUGGGUGAUGGACCCUGUUCGGCCUGCUGUCAGCCUGCCCACUACUGGGCAGCCUCUCCCUGCCGGCCUGCAGCCUCACAGCCUGCUACCAGUAGCCAUACAGCCUCAUACUGGCCAGCGCCUUUGCAGAUAAACAGCAACACUGCAUCGUACUGGCCAGUACCCUGGCAGGAACAGGGCACCUGAAGUCAGUGAAUCUGUCCCAUAACGCCCUGUGCUCUAUGGGCUUUGAGCUGGUCCUGAAGACUCUGCCUCUCCAAUGUCUCACUCAACUCGAUGUCUGCCAUCCGCUGUGGAACCACUGACCACCCUCCUUCAAAACAUCUCAAACACACACACACAAAUGCACACACCGACACACACACACACACAAAUUCAAAUAAAGUUAUUCUAUUGUGUACUUUCACAUUAAUUAAGCAUUGUUUGUCUAAAGAAAUGCAUAAACUAUCACAUGAUCUACAGUAAGUAUUUACUUAGUAGAGGAAAUUUGUCCAGGAAGGUACACGAUAAAGACUGCAAAUCUAAGAAAUGGAUCAGUAAAUUAUGAGGAGCUUUUAAUAGAAUUUGUUGAAACAAUUGGUUGCGUUUCUGGUCUGAGGCAGGCGCCUUGCAAGUUGAGUAAACAUUUCACAGUUUGAAAAGGAAGUUUGUCAUCCGCUUAUCUGCUGCACAACUUUGCCUUUGGUAUUCAAGCUAAGAAACGUAUUGAUAUGGUAAUUAGGAUACAAUGGUUGUAUCUUAAUUGUAUAUUUGACUUCAUGGGGAGCUAUGGCAAGAUGAUAUUUAGAGGAGCAAAUGUAGUUGUCACACCCUGAUCUGUUUCACCUGUCUUUGUGAUUGUCUCCAUUAUCCCCUGUGUAUUUUAUACCUGUGUUCUCUGUUGGUCUGUUGCCAGUUCGUCUUGUUUGUCAAGUCAACCAAUGUUUUUUUGUCUCAUGUCCUGCUUUUCCCAGUUUCUUUUUCUCGCCCUCCUGGUUUUGACCCUUGCUUGUCCUGUCUCUGAGCCCUCCUGCCUGACCACUCCACUUGACCCUGCCUGCCGUCCUAUACGUUUGCCCCACCUCUGGAUUAUUGACCUCUGCCUACCCUGACCCUGAGCCUGCCUGCCUGCCGUCCAGUACCGUUGCUCCACCUCUAGUUACUGACCCCUGCCUGCCUUUGACCUGUCUAUUGCCGGCCCCUGUUGGAUUAUUAAACCAUUGUUAAUUCGGCGUUGUCUGCAUCUGGGUCUUACCUUCAUACCUGAUAGUAGUGAUGGCUCCUCUGUAAGUAAGAUUCAUGUCAACUAGUAAUGUUUAAACUGAGAACUCAACACUGACAUAUUGGGUGAUAGUACUAUGUCUAACUGCCUGGUUAAGGGCAUACCAUGAGAUCUGGGAU